This 492-nucleotide long non-coding RNA is filed under the name Homo sapiens (human). RNAcentral's name for it is "HSALNT0115090". The record is from RNAcentral. Lineage: Eukaryota; Metazoa; Chordata; Mammalia; Primates; Hominidae.
GACAAUGAUUUUAUAGUGAAGUUGAAGCAAAGAGAGUGACCACCUGUGAGACAAAGAUGCAGGUUCCCUCUGUGUGCCGGGCAGUAUGCCAGUUAAUUCAAGUGCAUGUCAGACCCAGAGGGUGACAUCCUGUGACUCAGAUGCUAGGGCCCUUAUGAUGCCUGGUAAGGGAUGAACCGUUGUCCACAUUCUGUUUUCUGAGUCAAAGAGGAGGAAGAUCUGUCCAUCGAAACUGAGCUGCCAAGAUCCACUGCCGUGUCCUUCGGCUUUCUGCUCACAAGACAUCCUGGCCUGCAGGGUGAGGGGUUCUGCCCCCAUCAAAGAGAGAUCAGCUCUGGCCUUGACAGAUAUUGAGCCCCCAUCCUCUUCCACUUGCAAUUUCCUGGUCUUACUUGCUCUGCCACAUCCUGGCCUUGCCUCUAGACGUCUUGCGGGGUGAGAUGACCUUCCUAUUUGUAUUUUUACAUGAAAACUAUAAAUGCCUCUAACCUA